AGUUACGUAUUGCUGGUGCUGUUCUCGCAAAGGCAGAAAGUAGUCAGAGUUUGAUCCUGGCUCAGAUUGAACGCUGGCGGCAUGCCUUACACAUGCAAGUCGAACGGUAACAGGUCUUCGGAUGCUGACGAGUGGCGAACGGGUGAGUAAUACAUCGGAACGUGCCCAGUAAUGGGGAUAGCUCGGCGAAAGCCGGAUUAAUACCGCAUACGCCCUGAGGGGGAAAGUGGGGGACCGCAAGGCCUCACGUUAUUGGAGCGGCCGAUGGCUGAUUAGCUAGUUGGUAGGGUAAAGGCCUACCAAGGCGACGAUCAGUAGCUGGUCUGAGAGGACGAUCAGCCACACUGGGACUGAGACACGGCCCAGACUCCUACGGRGGCAGCAGUGGGAAUUUUGGACAAUGGGGGAAACCCUGAUCCAGCAAUGCCGCGUGUGCGAAGAAGGCCUUCGGGUUGUAAAGCACUUUUGUCAGGGAAGAAAUCCUUUGGGCUAAUACCCUAGGGGGAUGACGGUACCUGAAGAAUAAGCACCGGCUAACUACGUGCCAGCAGCCGCGGUAAUACGUAGGGUGCAAGCGUUAAUCGGAAUUACUGGGCGUAAAGCGUGCGCAGGCGGUUGUGUAAGACAGGUGUGAAAUCCCCGGGCUUAACCUGGGAAUUGCAUUUGUGACUGCACGACUAGAGUGUGUCAGAGGGGGGUGGAAUUCCACGUGUAGCAGUGAAAUGCGUAGAUAUGUGGAGGAACACCAAUGGCGAAGGCAGCCCCCUGGGAUAACACUGACGCUCAUGCACGAAAGCGUGGGGAGCAAACAGGAUUAGAUACCCUGGUAGUCCACGCCCUAAACGAUGUCAACUAGUUGUUGGGGAUUUACUUCCUUGGUAACGUAGCUAACGCGUGAAGUUGACCGCCUGGGGAGUACGGCCGCAAGGUUAAAACUCAAAGGAAUUGACGGGGACCCGCACAAGCGGUGGAUGAUGUGGAUUAAUUCGAUGCAACGCGAAAAACCUUACCUACCCUUGACAUGGCAGGAACUUUCCAGAGAUGGAUUGGUGCUCGAAAGAGAACCUGCACACAGGUGCUGCAUGGCUGUCGUCAGCUCGUGUCGUGAGAUGUUGGGUUAAGUCCCGCAACGAGCGCAACCCUUGUCAUUAGUUGCUACGAAAGGGCACUCUAAUGAGACUGCCGGUGACAAACCGGAGGAAGGUGGGGAUGACGUCAAGUCCUCAUGGCCCUUAUGGGUAGGGCUUCACACGUCAUACAAUGGUCGGUACAGAGGGUUGCCAAGCCGCGAGGUGGAGCCAAUCCCAGAAAACCGAUCGUAGUCCGGAUCGCAGUCUGCAACUCGACUGCGUGAAGUCGGAAUCGCUAGUAAUCGCGGAUCAGAAUGCCGCGGUGAAUACGUUCCCGGGUCUUGUACACACCGCCCGUCACACCAUGGGAGUGGGUUCUACCAGAAGUGGCUAGUCUAACCGCAAGGAGGACGGUCACCACGGUAGGAUUCAUGACUGGGGUGAAGUCGUAACAAGGUAGCCGUAUCGGAAGGUGCGGCUGGAUCACCUCCUUUCUAGAGAAAGAGAAGUAGAUUCAAGUCUUGAAUUUGUUUGGUUUUAGUGCUCACACUUAUCGGUUUGUUUAGACGCGAAGAUACAAGCAGCAAGAAGAGAGGGCCUUUAAGUGCGGAACGAAAGAACUGUCUAGAGGUCAGGGCCCUGGGGCUGAAAAGUUUACGGGGUCUGUAGCUCAGUUGGUUAGAGCACCGUCUUGAUAAGGCGGGGGUCGAUGGUUCGAGCCCAUCCAGACCCACCAUUGGUUUGAAGUUGUUGUAAAACACCUGGGGGUGUAGCUCAGCUGGGAGAGCACCUGCUUUGCAAGCAGGGGGUCAUCGGUUCGAUCCCGUUCACCUCCACCAAGUUUUAGUGCUGCAAGAAACGUGAAGUUUGUAUCGAGUGUUUGAAUAAAUGGUCUUUGAAUAAAAGAUUGGCUGUUAGCGGUUAGGCAAGGGAUGCAAGGGUUUGCAUCGGUUUGCGGUCAAAUGAAUAAGCGCGUGGUGCUGGGCACUGAGGUGUUUAUUCAUUUGGCUGUAAGAGUCGCCAGGUCUUCAGGAUCUGGACUUGUUCUUUAACAAUUUGGAAAUGAUGAGAUAUCGAGAUAGAUACUCCUUUUAACGAAGGUGUAGAUAUUUUGAUUGAUGCGAUUGCAUCAUCGUUCUUCUCAAGAAGUGGGUGUGUAUUGUUCCUAAUACGCACCGGCGCUUGAAAUUUAGAAUACACACAAACUACUUUGCUUUUUAUGGUGAUUACAGUGUUGUUCUUGUGAAUAACUUGAGCAGGGCUUAACGCUAUAGAGUCAAGCGAAUAAGUGCACAUGGUGGAUGCCUUGGCAGUCAUAGGCGAUGAAGGACGUGGUAGCCUGCGAAAAGCUACGGGGAGCUGGCAAACAAGCUUUGAGCCGUAGAUGUCCGAAUGGGGAAACCCACCCUUUUWGGGGUAUCGCACAGUGAAUACAUAGCUGUGCGAGGCGAACCUGGAGAACUGAAACAUCUAAGUACCCAGAGGAAAAGAAAUCAACCGAGAUUCCGAGAGUAGUGGCGAGCGAAAUUGGAUCAGCCUGUACGAUUUAGCAUUUGAGUUAACAAAACGGUCUUGAAAGUCCGGCCAUAGAAGGUGAUAGCCCUGUAUGUGAAAACUCGAUUGUGGAACUAGGCGUACGACAAGUAGGGCGGGGCACGAGAAACCCUGUCUGAACAUGGGGGACCAUCCUCCAAGGCUAAAUACUCAUGACUGACCGAUAGUGAACUAGUACCGUGAGGGAAAGGSGAAAAAAACCCCGGGGGGGGAGUGAAAUAGAUCCUGAAACCGUGUGCAUACAAACAGUCGGAGCGGACUUGUUCCGUGACGGCGUACCUUUUGUAUAAUGGGUCAGCGACUUACAUUCAGUGGCAAGCUUAACCGAGUAGGGAAGGCGUAGCGAAAGCGAGUCCGAAUAGGGCGUCUAGUCGCUGGGUGUAGACCCGAAACCAGAUGAUCUAUCCAUGGCCAGGUUGAAGGUUGGGUAACACCAACUGGAGGACCGAACCCACUAACGUUGAAAAGUUAGGGAUGAGCUGUGGAUAGGGGUGAAAGGCUAAACAAAUCCGGAAAUAGCUGGUUCUCCCCGAAAACUAUUUAGGUAGUGCGUCACAUAUCACUUCCGGGGUAAAGCACUGUUAUGGCUAGGGGGUCAUCGCGACUUACCAAACCAUGGCAAACUCUGAAUACCGGAAAGUGCGAGUGUGGCAGACAGACAGUGGGUGCUAACGUCCAUUGUCAAGAGGGAAACAACCCAGACCGCCAGCUAAGGUCCCCAAGACACAGUUAAGUGGGAAACGAGGUGGGAAGGCAUAGACAGCUAGGAGGUUGGCUUAGAAGCAGCCAUCCUUUAAAGAAAGCGUAAUAGCUCACUAGUCGAGUCGUCCUGCGCGGAAGAUGUAACGGGGCUCAAACUGUGCACCGAAGCUGCGGAUAUCGAAAGAUAUGGUAGGGGAGCGUUCUGUAGGUCUGUGAAGGUGUCUUGUAAAGGAUGCUGGAGAUAUCAGAAGUGCGAAUGCUGACAUGAGUAGCGAUAAAGGGRGKRAAARSCCCCGCCGAAAGCCCAAGGUUUCCUACGCAACGUUCAUCGGCGUAGGGUGAGUCGGCCCCUAAGGCGAGGCAGAAAUGCGUAGUCGAUGGGAAACAGGUCAAUAUUCCUGUACCGAUUCUAGAUGCGAUGUGGGGACGGAGAAGGUUAGGUCAGCCAACUGUUGGAAUAGUUGGUUUAAGCGUGUAGGCGUGCCCCUUAGGCAAAUCCGGGGGCUUAGCUGAGGCGUGACGACGAGGUGCUACGGCACUGAAGUGAUUGAUACCAAGCUUCCAGGAAAAGCCACUAAGCUUCAGUCUAGAAUUGACCGUACCGCAAACCGACACAGGUGGGCAGGAUGAAAAUUCUAAGGCGCUUGAGAGAACUCAGGAGAAGGAACUCGGCAAAUUGACACCGUAACUUCGGGAGAAGGUGUGCCCCGGUAGGUUGUAGAGCCUCGCGCUCGAAGGCCGAUGGGGUUGCAGUGAAAUGGUGGCUGCGACUGUUUAAUAAAACACAGCACUCUGCAAACACGAAAGUGGACGUAUAGGUGUGACGCCUGCCCGGUGCUGGAAGAUUAAAUGAUGGGGUGCAAGCUCUUGAUUGAAGUCCCAGUAAACGGCGGCCGUAACUAUAACGGUCCUAAGGUAGCGAAAUUCCUUGUCGGGUAAGUUCCGACCUGCACGAAUGGCGUAACGAUGGCCACACUGUCUCCUCCUGAGACUCAGCGAAGUUGAAAUGUUUGUGAAGAUGCAAUCUCCCCGCGGCAAGACGGAAAGACCCCAUGAACCUUUACUGUAGCUUUGCAUUGGACUUUGAACCGGUUUGUGUAGGAUAGGUGGGAGGCUGUGAAACCGGGACGCCAGUUUCGGUGGAGCCAACCUUGAAAUACCACCCUGAUUUGUUUGAGGUUCUAACCUUGACCAGUGAAUCCUGGUCGGGGACCGUGCAUGGUAGGCAGUUUWACUGGGGCGGUGACUACUUUCUGCCUUUGCGAGAACAGCACCAGCAAUACGUAACU
This 4615-nucleotide ribosomal RNA is filed under the name uncultured bacterium. RNAcentral describes it as "partial contains 16S ribosomal RNA, 16S-23S ribosomal RNA intergenic spacer, and 23S ribosomal RNA". The record is from RNAcentral.